Molecule: long non-coding RNA, 920 nt
Organism: Gasterosteus aculeatus aculeatus (three-spined stickleback)
Lineage: Eukaryota; Metazoa; Chordata; Actinopteri; Perciformes; Gasterosteidae
Source: Ensembl
CACUAAGACGCUGUUUUGAAACAUUACACGCGUGUGUGUAUGUGUGUGUGUCGGUGUGUGUGUGUGUGUGUGUGUGUGUGCCGGUGCCUACCAUUUGCUCAUCCUAAACCUGUAUUGACUGGCCAGCCUCAGCGGGUUAGCGGAGACAGGAAGUUAUUGUUCCUCCCGAGUUGGUGUCAGUGUGGCAGCGGUCUUUAUCGAUCCAAUUCCCAGUCGAUUAUCCCUCAGGACAUUUGAUUAAUACCUCUAAGAGGUUUGAAACUGCGGUUUAUGAGGGUUUGUUUGACGACCAAAACUAAAUAGUGUCUGUCUCACUAUUCUCUGACCACCUGACCCCAUGUAUGGCAGGCAACUGCAAGCCCGUUCAUAACAGCGGCACUGCAGAAGUACAUGUUGCAAAUGAAGCAUCCUAUUGGGUAUUCAAAGGAGCAAGACAUUGUGGAAGUGACCCAAUGUCCUUUAAGGUGGCAAGACGGCCUUAGUCUUUGGAGAGAAGUGGACUUGAUCCCUGCAUUCAGCCAUAUCCCCUGAGGAAGCGACACCGAAUCCCAGCCUGAUCCCGUCUCAUCUCUAAAACAUAAAUAACAGCUAUGGGGUUCACGAUCUGCAACCAAGACGACGUCAGCUUGAACCUGGUGUGAGCCUGUGAAUGUGAACCCCUCCUCAUCAGAUAAGCUUCACAACGUGUGAAAGCACAGAGAAGAAUCUACAUCAGAUGUUGAACUGGCACAUUCAUUUGUGUCUACAUGUUGUAUAUUGCAAUGAUGCUGUAUUUUUGUGUGAUAAAUGUACAUACCAAAAAAGCAUAGAAACAAAUGAGUCUACUUUUAAAUGCAGCAUUAAAAAUGAUGUUUGUUGAAAGUGAACUUACAGCUAUUUAUUUAUUCAUUCAGUGUCUAUAAGAGUACAGUUGUAAACAA